GCAUUGGUGGUUCAGUGGUAGGAUGCUCGCCUUCCAUGUGAAAGAGCUGGGUUCGAUUCCCAGCCAGUGCA
Molecule: transfer RNA, 71 nt
Organism: Loxodonta africana (African savanna elephant)
Lineage: Eukaryota; Metazoa; Chordata; Mammalia; Proboscidea; Elephantidae
Rfam family: tRNA
About the family: Transfer RNA (tRNA) molecules are approximately 80 nucleotides in length.
Source: Rfam